Molecule: long non-coding RNA, 854 nt
Organism: Neofelis nebulosa (Clouded leopard)
Lineage: Eukaryota; Metazoa; Chordata; Mammalia; Carnivora; Felidae
Exons: 4
Source: RefSeq, a predicted model, not a curated record
CCUAGUUAAUGAUUUUGGGGCAGAUAGAAUUUAACUUCUCAUUGACAACAUGUCCAGACACUGGACAAAGUUUGACUUUAUUGAGCACCAGAGACCACACUCCUACCUCCUUGAAAUUCUGCUUCUCCAAGGGAUGGACUUCACCUUGGAUUCUGUUCCCAAACAAGUAUGUAGGGACAAAAGGAGCAUGGCCAUCCCCCAGAGUGGCCAGUGUUUCCUGCAAAUCUUCUCCUUCUGCACUUUAUUCUAGACUUUAAAAGCCCAACCACCCAUUGACUUCAUUCAGCUUAUUUUGUUCCAGAGUCUAUUUGCUGGGGCUGCAAAGAUGAGCCAGUCACAGUCACUACCCUCACCAAUACCACUGUCAAGCAAGACCACUAAAGUGUUUCCUCUUUCCUUUAUCCUUUUUAGAUGAAGCAGGUCCAUGAAGAUGGGCUGUAUGUUUUGAUCAAAGAAGAUGCAACCCCUUGAGUUACUCCAGGCACAAGACUGUGUCUUUUAGGCUGGAUUUCCCCCACCCCAAAAUGCUGUGGAGGCUCAGAGGCAGAAGUCACACAUUUUCCAGCAAGCCAUGGGUUCUCACAUCAGGAGUGGAGGCAUCAGGACAACUUGGCAGCCAUGGAGGAAACUGUACCCAUCUGUUCUCCAGACCAGCCCGUUCUGGUGAUGAGGUGGAGUGAGGUGAGUGCUGGUAUGCACUGUGAUGUAGCCUGAGACCACAACUGAUGCAUCAGAAGGAAGACCGUUCCUUCUGGACCUCGGACCACAGUUGACCUCAGGGGAAGCUCAAAAUAAACAUGAUGGCCCGGACUUCAGAGAAGAAAAGACAAGUCCAUUUAGCUGAGUCCAAGCAG